Molecule: long non-coding RNA, 642 nt
Organism: Bos taurus (domestic cattle)
Lineage: Eukaryota; Metazoa; Chordata; Mammalia; Artiodactyla; Bovidae
Source: Ensembl
GUUAAACCUUUCUUGCAUCUUCUCAAUCCUUGUCUCCAGGCUAUUUAUCUGUGAUUCCAUUUUAAUUUCAAGAUUUUGGAUCAAUUUCACUAUCAUUAUUUGGAAUUCUUUAUCAGUGUAUUUUCUUGUAUGGUCUUCCCUGGUGGCUCAGUGGUAAAGAAACCCCCUGACAAUGCAGGAGAUGCAGGCUUGAUCCCUGGGUCAGGAAGAUCCCCUGGAGAAGAAAUGGCAACACACUCUAGUAUUCUUGCCUGGGAAAUCCAAUGGACAGAGAGCCUGCAUAUAGUUGGGUUUCUUUAUGACCUGGGUUUGAUCCCUGGAUCGGGAAGAUCCUCUGGAGAAGGGAAUGGCAAUCCUCUUCAGUAUUCCUGUCUGGAAAAUACCAUGGACCGAGAAGCCUGGGCUGGAGUCGCCCGGGCGGACAGACACAGGCGCACAGCAGUCUUCUCCCACACAAGCCUGGAAUGGCAACAGAGCGCGGCUGCCGAAGAAAGAAAAGCCGUUUCAGAGCUGUGGGGUGGCGUGGGGGCGUGUGUAGCAGGGUGAGGGAGUCAUUCCUCUCCUCCUCCAUCCAAGGAUGCAUCCAGCACAUCUUUUUUUUUUUAAUUGAUUUCUCUCGAGUGGGAGGCAAAACCCCUCAGA